This is an RNA transcript of Hevea brasiliensis (rubber tree), 6560 nucleotides long. It is a transcript of the gene named ENHANCER OF AG-4 protein 2, with no coding region annotated. The record is from RefSeq and is a predicted model, not a curated record. The transcript is spliced from 13 exons. NCBI's taxonomy places the organism in Eukaryota, Viridiplantae, Streptophyta, Magnoliopsida, Malpighiales, Euphorbiaceae.
ACAAUAUGACUUCGGUUGAUAGAUCUGAUUAAAAUUACUAAAAAGACCCAUUCCAAUACUUGUCUAUACACCCAAGCCCCCAAAGCUCCAUCUCUCCCAAAAAUCUACUCCUCUCUUUGCCUGGCUCUACCGCCUUAAUAUUUUCCUCCCUAAAACCUGCAGUCUCUCAACGCCCCCUUACCAACAUACAAUUCUCAAUGCACAACUCUCCCGCUUUCUCUCCUCCUUCGAUGUGCUAGCGUUUCAAUCGCCGGAACCCUAACCGGCUAUUCGCUGCCGGCGAAUUCUCCGGCGAGUCUCAUUUGAGCUGUUUCUUUUAGGGUUUAUCUAUUGGAUUCGAUUCUACAAUUCGAUUGAUUCUGAUUCUUCUUCUUGAAUUUUAGGGUCUCUCUAUUUGUAUUCCCCUCUCUCCCUUUUUGCGUGCUUGUGUAAUCAACAGCAGUAAAGCAUAUGGCACCUGGGCGUAAAAAAGGAGCGAACAAGGCAAAGACGAAGAGUCAAUUGAGUUUGGGCGAUCUCGUUCUUGCCAAAGUAAAGGGCUUCCCUCCUUGGCCUGCCAAGAUAAGCCGCCCUGAAGAUUGGGAGCGAGCCCCUGACCCUAAGAAAUACUUUGUCCAGUUUUUUGGAACUGAAGAAAUAGCCUUUGUUGCUCCUGGUGAUAUUCAGGUAUUUACAAGUGAAUUAAUGAAUAAAUUGUCAGCUCGAUGUCAAGGUAAGACUAAGUAUUUUGCCCAAGCUGUGAAGGAAAUCUCUGCAGCAUUUCAAGAGUUACAGAAGGGAAAGUCAAGUGGUUUAUUAGGUACUGAUAGAUCAACACUAGGCUUUGAUGCUGCGUCUACUGAUGGGAUAGAAGAUGAGAUGGAGCUUGAAUUAAAUGAUGGCAUGGGUACAAGUGUCUUCAAAAGAGAAACAUGGGAUCAGGAAGGUGAUUUUAGUUCUAAGUUGAAGCAUUGUUCACAUAGACUAGGCCAGACUGAAUAUGAAGAUGUAAAGCCUACUAUUUCAGCUGAUGUGAAUGAUAAUUCAUCCCUGGCUAUGUCUUCGGAGAAGAAAGUUAAAAUAUCACAUGGUGAACAGAUGCAGGUCGUAUUAUCUAAAUCUUGUUUGGAUGAUCCUUCAUAUGUAAAGGAUGGAGAGUCCGGUGAUGUAAAUGAGGAUGUUAGUUGCACAAAGAACCCUGAAAAUGGUGAUAGAGCAUGGGCCAAUGGUCAUAAGUCCAAGAGUAUGGCUGCUGAAACAAAGAGGAAACCUGAUGUUGCUGUUGAGGGGCAUAUCCUCCCUGAAAAUGGUAAAAAAGUGAAAGAUAAAAUUGCAACUGGUGGCACCAUGAGGGGGUUUUCCCCUGAUGCUCUUAAAUCAGAUUCUGAAGCUGUUAAAUCAGAUUCUGAAAUCAGAACUGGGAAAAAGGCAAAAGAACUUCAAAAAGACAAAAAGGGUUUAAUGGUACCUGAUAGUAUGCAUGAAAACGUAUUGAAUUCCAUUGGUGAGAUCUCUGACAAGAAAAAGAGGGCCCAAUCUGGGCUUGGAAAAGCAAGUGAAGCUUUACAUCCUGCAACAAAGCCAAAGCGUGUAGAUGUGGGGGAUGAUACUGCUAAGGAAUCUAUCACAGAAAACAUGAAGAGUGAUUCUUCAAGUUCUAAUGCAGUCAAACAGUCCACAUCACAUGAAAAAAGAGAAAUCCUUUUGGCAUUAAGAGCCCAAACAGGAAAAGGGAAAUUUGUUGGUUCUGCUCAAACGGCAAAAAAUAAAUCUGAUAUUUCUUCCCAAACGGGCAAAGUUAAAUCUUAUGUCUCCAUAAAAAUGUGUGAAGCUAAAUCUGAUGCUCCAGCACCAGCUGGAAAAGUUAAAUCUAAUGCAUCUGCCCAAAUGGGUAAUGCUAAAUCUGAUAUUUCUGCUCAAACAGGAAAAGUUAGAUCUGAUGUUUCCAGUGAUGAAGCUGUGCUGCCUGUAUCAAAACGUCGCAGGCGGGCAAUGGAGGCAAUGUCUGACUCUGUGUCCCUUAAUUCCAAUGAUAAGACUGAAAAAGGUCCUGUGGAGCUGAAGAAUGACUCUGCUUCUAAUAAUACUAGAGUUCCAGUUAAUCAACUGCCCAAAAGACGGAGAGCUGUUUGCCUCUACGAUGAUGAUGAUGAAGGGGAAGGGCCUAAAACUCCAAUUUAUGGAGGAUCCACCAGAAGUGUUAGAGCACCUCUAGCUGUUUUUGAUACUUCUACAGGAACGGACUCACAUUUUGGGGGUUCUGUUAAUAAUCAGCUGGGAAGGUCUAUUAAUGUUCAGCCAAGUGUUGAAGAUUCUUCCAGAUUGAAGCAUAGCAGUUCAAGGGAAUUAUCCUCACAGUUGCAUGAUGAAUCUCUUUCACCUAGCCGACCAAAAAGUGUGAAGAGGCCUGAUAGUCGUGACUUUGUUAGUCCUGGUAAAUUAGCAGGAGAGCACUUAUUGUCCAAGGAUGCCAAAUUAAUGUUGAGUUCCCCCAAGAGGUCUCCUCAUUCGCUUCCCGUCACCAGACCAGCUGUGGAACAACAUAAAGCCUCAAAACCUUUAGUUAAAUCUUCCAAUGGCAGUACUCCGAAAAAAGCCCAGUCUGGGUCUGCUAAGGUUAUGGGUCUGGUUUCUGAUAGUUUGAAUACUUCUCAGAAUCAUUUACUGAGCCAAAGAAAUAGAUCAGGUGUAUCUGGAGAAAGACCCAAAAAUACUCCAAAAGCACGGAUGGGUGACCAUGCUGUUUUAAUGGAACCAUCAACAGAACAAGCAUGGGUUACAGAAGAUAGAGACAUUUCAUUGGUUGAUUCCAAGACUCCAGAUUCUGUUAUGUCCAUGAAACACCUUAUUGCAGCUGCUCAAGCUAAAAGGAAAGAAGCUCACUCACAAGCUCACUCGCAACAUUUCUCUCUUGGAAACCCUAAUUCUUUUAUGUCCAUCAAUGAUCCUCAGGGAAGAAGUCCCAGUCCCUCAUCACUCCAACCAUUUUUAUCUGGCUCCAGCACUGUGUUACAGAAUGAUCUACAGAGCUUUCAACAUCGCACAAAUGUACUUUCUCCAUCAACUCAUGGUCAUCAAUCAGCAUCACACAACCAAGUAGAAGCUGAAGAAAUUGACGAGCAAAGAGUUAGUUCUGGACACAAGAUUGUUGGAGGCUCUCUAAGUGGUGGAACUGAGGCUGCUGUAGCUCGUGAUGCUUUUGAGGGGAUGAUAGAGACUUUAUCAAGGACAAAAGAAAGUAUUGGGCGUGCUACUCGGCUUGCCAUUGACUGUGCCAAGUAUGGCAUUGCCAAUGAGGUUGUGGAACUUCUAAUCCGGAAAUUAGAAACUGAGCCCAGUUUCCAUCGUAAAGUGGAUCUCUUUUUUCUUGUUGAUUCAAUCACCCAGUGUUCACAUAAUCAAAAAGGGAUUGCUGGAGCUUCAUAUGUUCCAACAGUUCAAGCAGCAUUACCACGACUUCUGGGUGCUGCUGCUCCUCCGGGACCUGGUGCUCGUGAAAACCGUCGUCAGUGUCUCAAGGUUUUACGUUUGUGGCUUGAGAGGAAAAUUUUUCCUGAUUCCGUUUUGAGGCAUUAUAUGGAUGAUAUUGGAGUUUCAAAUGAUGAUUCCUCUGCUGGAUUUUCCCUUAGACGCCCAUCUCGAGCUGAACGAGCUGUAGAUGAUCCCAUCAGAGAAAUGGAAGGCAUGCUUGUAGAUGAAUAUGGCAGCAAUGCUACAUUUCAGUUGCCUGGCUUUGUAUGUUCUAAUGCAUUUGAAGAUGAAGAUGAGGAAGAUGAUCUUCCUGGCAGUUCAUUGAAGGAAGGUGGCGAUGUGUCAUCACUAGCAGAACCCACCCGUACUUUAGGAGAGUCAGAAACAUGUACUAUGACUCCAAAUGACAGGCGUCAUUGCAUCUUAGAGGAAGUGGAUGGUGAACUUGAAAUGGAAGAUGUGUCUGGACACCAAAAGGAUGAAAGACCGUUGUUCACAAAUUCUUUAGAAGUGGAUGCCCCGCAGCAUUGCUCAGAUGGAGUUCUGGAGCCAGUAGUCGCCAAAUCUGUUGAGCUGCCUCCUCUGCCGGAAAGUUCUCCUCCAUUGCCUCCUGAUUCUCCUCCCUCACCCCCACCUUUACCUCCCUCACCACCACCACCACCACCACCACCACCACCACCACCACCCCCUACAUCUCCUUCACAACCUCCACCUCCACCUCCACCACCUCCACCUCCACCACCUGUUCCAUCACAGCCACCUCCUCCUCCUGUACCAGCUUCAGGCCAUCCACAGUCAUUGGUACCUCAACAGUUAGCACCAAAUCAACCUUCCUUGGCGACUCAACCAAUUCUACCUUCUGUGUCAUCAUUACAGUCCUCACCACAGUUGGCAUAUCCACCAGCUGUAACUCAUGAAUAUUGCAGUACAUCUGGUGGUAAUCAACUUGCUAAAAUGGCUGGAAAUAUUCAUGUGAAUCAUAUGGAUGCUGGCAUAAAAAGUGAAUUGUUUCCACAGCAGUCACCUUGCUUCACACCUACGGCAGUCUGCAGUUCUAGAGAACCUUCAGGAUAUAAUCCUUCAAGGCAAUUGGAUUAUGGACAUAAUGACCUGUAUUUAAAUUCCCAAGCAUCUCAACAUUUUCAAACAGGAAAUGCUCCUUUUGCACAAAGACCUUUACAUCCAACCUUGCCACAAACUCCGUCUGGUCAAUUUUCUUUUGCAAAGCCUGCUAUUCAGCAACAUCCUCAGCAUUCAUUUCCUCGUCCAUACACUAUCCAUUCUUAUCCUGAUGGACGAAGGCGAUUUGUUGGUGAUGAACUUUGGAGGAUGCCGACAAGUGAAUUUAACACAGAUAAUCAGCAAGGCACAUGGAUGAGUGGAAGAAAUCCUUCACAUGCAGCCCCUUCUUUUGGGCAGGAAGGUUACUUUCGGCCGCCCCUUGAAAGGCCACCUGGUAAUAAUAUGGGCUUUCAGCCCAACAAUUUACCAGCUGGAGCUCCAAUACCAGGUCAUGGUGUUUCACACAUGUUGCCAUGUAGACCGGACAUGUCUGCCCUUAAUUGCUGGAGACCAGCAUAAGAACAAGUCAGAAGCUUACUUAAGUUCCACUUCUGGACAAGAUACAACUGGCAUUUGAAGGCUGUGUUUAGACCUUGUGGAAGCUCUUGGCAGGACUGUGUAUAUUGUAAUAUUUCCUGACAAAUGUAUCCCGGGAACACUUUCUUCCGAGUGUAGGCCCAUGUUUCUGACUUGGUUGGGGGAAAACAUAAGUCAAAAAUUGCUGUUAUUUGUGGUGUUCAUCAUGGUAAACACUUAAGAAUACGAUUCUCAGUCAGACAAGUUCUGCAAAAUGUUGAGGUAAAUAUUUGUCAUGGAUUUGCAAGCCAGACAACAUUCAUUAUUUUCCCCUUUUUUUUAUUUUUUUAUUUUUUAUAAGAUAGAAAUUAGCUUAUUUGCUAGAAGAUCUAAAGGAAAAGGUUCUACAAAAUGCUUCAAUUUUUUUCUGGAUAAAAAAAAGGGUUAUAACAAUGAGUUUUUAUCAAUUAUCAUGUCCUUGUUAAUGUCUUCAUUACUAUUAUUACAUUCUGCACAUACAAUUUAUAACAUUGAGAGUAUGAUUAUGGUCAACAUUUCUUGUAUAACAUUUUCACAGGUUCCGAUUUUCCAGAGUGUAAAUUUUAUCAUUGAUUGUAGUUAUCUUUGAAAUGUUUUCUCAAAAAGGUGUUUGUUGCUUAGAUUAGUUUACAAAAUUAUACUUUCCCAGCAAUUAAUUGGUUUGAAGGGAUGCAUGGUGUCAAUUGUUAAUAUGUGCAUGAAAAUGGGUUUGCUGGAUUUGAAAAAUAAAAUAAAAUAAAAUAGGUGCAAGUGAAAUGCUUAUUUGGGGUGUGUUUAAGAGCUUAAAGGAAAAACUGUUGGCCUCUAAAAGCUGUUUAUAGGUUCUUUUGUUAAUGCUCUGUUUGGUUGAGAGGAAAGAAAAUAGGAAGGAUUGGUAAGGAGGGAAGGAGGAUAGAAUGGAUGGAAUUUUAUCAAUGGUCCAAUGUGUAAUUACUAAUAUACCCUUAUUGAUUACAUAUUUUCUUUGUCCAUAUUUUAUUCAAACUAAAGAAUGGAAUUUUAAAAUUUACUAUUAAAAUAUAAUUUAUGUUCCACUUUCCUACACCAAUGAAAAACAAAAUUGUGGGCCCUAAUUGAUGGAAUGGAUGAUCUUCUUUCUUCCCUUCCAACCAAUAAGAGUGAGAAAGAAAAUCUGUGGACCUCUAAAACUAGAGAGGAAAUUACCAAAACGGUUGUAGGUGCUGCUGUCGCUGGUGGAUAUUUUGAAUGUUACAGCAGAUGAUAGCUGCAGUAGCAGAGCUGGUGGUGGUGGCGGCAUCAUUAUGCUAUUGUAGAGAUGAUCAAGAUUCAUUUUGACUUGUUUUUAUGAAAUAGAAAAGUUUAUUCCUAGAUUUUAUGAUUAUUAGAAAUAUUAACAUUGUCGAAGAUAAAAGAUUUGUGAUAGAGAUUCUCGGAAUUUUACUAAAAUUUUUGUUAGAUUUAGCUUGUAAUAUAGCUUAUGCAAUUAAAAUAAGUUAUAAUUUAAUAAUUUAGUACAUAAAAAUUUUGGCCAA